UACGUAGGUGGCAAGCGUUGUCCGGAUUUACUGGGCGUAAAGAGCGCGCAGGCGGCUGGUCAAGUCCGAUGUGAAAUCUCCCGGCUUAACUGGGAAACUGCAUCGGAAACUGAUCGGCUUGAAGGUGGGAGAGGGUAGUGGAAUUCCCGGUGUAGUGGUGAAAUGCGUAGAUAUCGGGAGGAACACCGGUGGCGAAGGCGGGUCUCUGGGCCGAUACUGACGCUGAGGAGCGAAAGCGUGGGGAGCGAACAGG
RNAcentral lists this ribosomal RNA (253 nucleotides) under uncultured bacterium. RNAcentral describes it as "partial 16S ribosomal RNA". It matches the Rfam family "Bacterial small subunit ribosomal RNA", at positions 524 to 776 of the family's 1533-position model. The record is from RNAcentral.